UGAGGAAUAUUGGUCAAUGGGCGGAAGCCUGAACCAGCCAUGCCGCGUGAAGGACUAAGGCCCUACGGGUCGUAAACUUCUUUAGACGCAGAGCAAUAAGGUCCACGCGUGGACCGAUGAGAGUAUGCGUAGAAUAAGCAUCGGCUAACUCCGUGCCAGCAGCCGCGGUAAUACGGGGGAUGCGAGCGUUAUCCGGAUUUAUUGGGUUUAAAGGGUGCGUAGGCGGUCCGGUAAGUCAGCCGUGAAAAGCCCCCGCUCAACGGGGGUCGUGCGUUUGAUACUGUUGGACUGGAAUGCGGAUGCCGUGGGAGGAAUGUGUGGUGUAGCGGUGAAAUGCAUAGAUAUCACACAGAACACCGAUUGCGAAGGCAUCUCACGAAUCCGCAAUUGACGCUGAGGCACGAAAGCGCGGGUAUCGAACAGGAUUAGAUACCCUGGUAGU
Molecule: ribosomal RNA, 442 nt
Filed under: uncultured bacterium
Lineage: Bacteria
Description: bacterial SSU rRNA
Rfam family: Bacterial small subunit ribosomal RNA
Source: RNAcentral